ACACUCCUACGGGAGGCAGCAGUGGGGAAUUUUGGACAAUGGGGGCAACCCUGAUCCAGCAAUGCCGCGUGAGUGAAGAAGGCCUUCGGGUUGUAAAGCUCUUUUGUCAGGGAAGAAACGGUGGUGGCGAAUAACUACUACUAAUGACGGUACCUGAAGAAUAAGCACCGGCUAACUACGUGCCAGCAGCCGCGGUAAUACGUAGGGUGCAAGCGUUAAUCGGAAUUACUGGGCGUAAAGCGUGCGCAGGCGGUUGUGUAAGUCAGAUGUGAAAUCCCCGGGCUCAACCUGGGAAUUGCAUUUGAGACUGCACGGCUAGAGUGUGUCAGAGGGGGGUAGAAUUCCACGUGUAGCAGUGAAAUGCGUAGAUAUGUGGAGGAAUACCGAUGGCGAAGGCAGCCCCCUGGGAUAACACUGACGCUCAUGCACGAAAGCGUGGGGAGCAAACAGGAUUAGAAACCCCGGUAGUCCC
This 472-nucleotide ribosomal RNA is filed under the name uncultured organism. RNAcentral describes it as "partial 16S ribosomal RNA". It matches the Rfam family "Bacterial small subunit ribosomal RNA", at positions 333 to 797 of the family's 1533-position model. The record is from RNAcentral.